Molecule: ribosomal RNA, 461 nt
Filed under: uncultured bacterium
Lineage: Bacteria
Description: bacterial SSU rRNA
Rfam family: Bacterial small subunit ribosomal RNA
Source: RNAcentral
AGUGAACGUUGGCGGCGUGGAUUAGGCAUGCAAGUCGAGCGAUCGUAGCAAUACGGGAGCGGCAAACGGGGUAGGAAUACAUCGGAACGUACCCUCUGGUCGAGGAUAGCGUCGGGAAACUGACGGUAAUACUCGAUAAAGUCGAGAGACCAAAGGUUUACUGCCGGAGGAGCGGCCGAUGUGAUAUUAGGUAGUUGGUGGGGUAACGGCCUACCAAGCCUGAGAUGUCUAGGGGGUGUGAGAGCAUGGCCCCCACCACUGGGACUGAGAAACUGCCCAGACACCUACGGGUGGCUGCAGUCGAGGAUCUUCGUCAAUGGGCGAAAGCCUGAACGAGCGACGCCGCGUGCGGGAUGAAGGCCCUUGGGUUGUAAACCGCUGUCAGGGGGGAGUGAAACCGCAAGGUUGACAGAGCCCCAGAGGAAGCACGGGCUAAGUCGUGCCAGCAGCCGCGGUAAAGU